This 253-nucleotide ribosomal RNA is filed under the name uncultured bacterium. RNAcentral describes it as "partial 16S ribosomal RNA". It matches the Rfam family "Bacterial small subunit ribosomal RNA", at positions 524 to 776 of the family's 1533-position model. The record is from RNAcentral.
UACGUAGGGGGCUAGCGUUGUCCGGAUUUAUUGGGCGUAAAGAGCGUGUAGGCGGCCAGGUAGGUCCGUUGUGAAAACUCGAGGCUCAACCUCGAGACGUCGGUGGAAACCAUCCAGCUAGAGUCCGGAAGAGGAGAGUGGAAUUCCUGGUGUAGCGGUGAAAUGCGCAGAUAUCAGGAAGAACACCCGUGGCGAAAGCGGCUCUCUGGGACGGUACUGACGCUGAGACGCGAAAGCGUGGGGAGCGAACAGG